UACGUAGGGUGCGAGCGUUAAUCGGAAUUACUGGGCGUAAAGCGUGCGCAGGCGGUUAUUUAAGUCAGGUGUGAAAGCCCUGGGCUUAACCUAGGAAUUGCGCUUGAGACUGGAUAGCUUGGAGUGCGGCAGAGGGAGGUGGAAUUCCACAUGUAGCAGUGAAAUGCGUAGAGAUCGUAAGGAAGACCAAUGGCGAAGGCAAGUCUCUGGACAGUUACUGACGCUGAGGCACGAAGGCCAGGGGAGCAAACGGG
RNAcentral lists this ribosomal RNA (254 nucleotides) under uncultured bacterium. RNAcentral's name for it is "partial 16S ribosomal RNA". It matches the Rfam family "Bacterial small subunit ribosomal RNA", at positions 524 to 776 of the family's 1533-position model. The record is from RNAcentral.